AUGUUCUUCUGUUUGCUGGAUGUCAGUCCUACAGGGCUGCUGUUUUGCCCACUUGCAGGAGACGCACUGUGGCCUGUUCCCAUUGUGGUCCACACCGUGGCUCCGCCCAGAGUUGUGCAGUGCAGAGUCCUGCUGUCUUCCCCGCAGAAGGGAAGCUUCACCUAGACAGGUCCAUUGCAGGAAUCCUCCCUGGUCACUGUAGGUCUGGCAGCCAACAGGUCUGAUGCACAAUAGGCACUCAAUCAAUAUGUGUUGGAUGUUAUUAAUAAAAGGAAGAACUAACAUGCAUUACUAGGUGACAGACACUCUAUGCUCAACCCUGAGAACUGCCAUCCUCAUUUUACUCUUGAGGACUCGGGCUGAGUGACAGGAGGUCUAUUGAUGGACGCCCUGUAGUGAGUGGAGGUUUCAGCCAGGACCGACUGGUUCCCUAAGAUAAGAAAGUGAAAGAAAGACUACUAAAUUCCAGCAGCCUUGAGCAGUUGGGAUGAGGAUUAGAAGAACAGGACAGUUGAAAGUCAUCCCAAUGUCUCACUUCUGCCACUGGGAGGCCUGUCCUUUACCUUGUGCCUCUGCUGCCAAGAAGGGAGGCAGGAAGGCCCCAGGAUGCUGGCAAGGGAACCUGGGGAUUCAGACACCUGGAGAAUCAGACAGGUCAAGGACCUCUGGGACCAGACUGAGGUCCCAGGAAGCCUCUCAGGCCCCAGUGCUGAGUGUGCGCUUGUGAAUGGGUGCACACGUGUCCAGAUGGUGGUGGGGACAGGGGCAAAGACAAUGCCUCCCUCCUUUUGCUCAGUCCCACAUUUCCCCCUGUCUUCUUGGCCCAGUCUGCUCUCCUGCCGGGGGAAAGACCUUCAUGCCCAUUUGUGAUGGACCCAGGGUGCGGGCCAGUCUUUUCUGGUCUGGGAGUCCUUAGUGCCUCUGACCCAGACUCCCUCCUUUGGGCUUCUUGAGUUCCC
This 959-nucleotide long non-coding RNA is filed under the name Marmota monax (woodchuck). The record is from RNAcentral. Lineage: Eukaryota; Metazoa; Chordata; Mammalia; Rodentia; Sciuridae.